GUGUCAGCAGCCGCGGUAAUACGUAGGGGGCGAGCGUUGUCCGGAAUUAUUGGGCGUAAAGGGCGCGCAGGCGGUUUUUUAAGUCUGAUGUGAAAUCUCGUGGCUUAACCACGAGCGGUCAUUGGAAACUGAAAGACUUGAGGACAGAAGAGGAGAGUGGAAUUCCACGUGUAGCGGUGAAAUGCGUAGAUAUGUGGAGGAACACCAGUGGCGAAGGCGACUCUCUGGUCUGUAACUGACGCUGAGGCGCGAAAGCGUGGGGAGCGAACAGGAUUAGAUACCCUGGUAGUCCACGCCGUAAACGAUGAGUGCUAGGUGUUAGGGGGUUUCCGCCCCUUAGUGCUGCAGUUAACGCAUUAAGCACUCCGCCUGGGGAGUACGGCCGCAAGGCUGAA
RNAcentral lists this ribosomal RNA (395 nucleotides) under uncultured bacterium. RNAcentral describes it as "bacterial SSU rRNA". It matches the Rfam family "Bacterial small subunit ribosomal RNA", at positions 505 to 898 of the family's 1533-position model. The record is from RNAcentral.